RNAcentral lists this ribosomal RNA (253 nucleotides) under uncultured bacterium. RNAcentral describes it as "partial 16S ribosomal RNA". It matches the Rfam family "Bacterial small subunit ribosomal RNA", at positions 524 to 776 of the family's 1533-position model. The record is from RNAcentral.
UACAGAGGGGGCAAGCGUUGUUCGGAAUUACUGGGCGUAAAGGGCGCGUAGGCGGCCUUCUAAGUCGAACGUGAAAUCCCCGGGCUCAACCCGGGAACUGCGUCCGAGACUGGAAGGCUCGAAUCCGGGAGAGGGAUGUGGAAUUCCAGGUGUAGCGGUGAAAUGCGUAGAUAUCUGGAGGAACAUCGGUGGCGAAGGCGGCAUCCUGGACCGGUAUUGACGCUGAAGCGCGAAAGCCAGGGGAGCAAACGGG